Molecule: long non-coding RNA, 136 nt
Organism: Diuraphis noxia (Russian wheat aphid)
Lineage: Eukaryota; Metazoa; Arthropoda; Insecta; Hemiptera; Aphididae
Source: RefSeq, a predicted model, not a curated record
GUGUAAUUUACUCUUACAGAAAUGGUGMAAGCGUAUAURRAUGCAUUGCCAAGUUUAUCCUCACAAAGACAACGCUCACAAACUCCGUUGACAGAGUUCUGUAAUCAUAUUCCUGAAUCCUUCUACGGAAAUGAUA